AAAUUGAAGAGUUUGAUCAUGGCUCAGAUUGAACGCUGGCGGCAGGCCUAACACAUGCAAGUCGAACGGUAGCACAGAGAGCUUGCUCUCGGGUGACGAGUGGCGGACGGGUGAGUAAUGUCUGGGAAACUGCCUGAUGGAGGGGGAUAACUACUGGAAACGGUAGCUAAUACCGCAUAACGUCGCAAGACCAAAGAGGGGGACCUUCGGGCCUCUUGCCAUCAGAUGUGCCCAGAUGGGAUUAGCUAGUAGGUGGGGUAACGGCUCACCUAGGCGACGAUCCCUAGCUGGUCUGAGAGGAUGACCAGCCACACUGGAACUGAGACACGGUCCAGACUCCUACGGGAGGCAGCAGUGGGGAAUAUUGCACAAUGGGCGCAAGCCUGAUGCAGCCAUGCCGCGUGUAUGAAGAAGGCCUUCGGGUUGUAAAGUACUUUCAGCGGGGAGGAAGGCGAUAAGGUUAAUAACCUUGUCGAUUGACGUUACCCGCAGAAGAAGCACCGGCUAACUCCGUGCCAGCAGCCGCGGUAAUACGGAGGGUGCAAGCGUUAAUCGGAAUUACUGGGCGUAAAGCGCACGCAGGCGGUCUGUCAAGUCGGAUGUGAAAUCCCCGGGCUCAACCUGGGAACUGCAUUCGAAACUGGCAGGCUAGAGUCUUGUAGAGGGGGGUAGAAUUCCAGGUGUAGCGGUGAAAUGCGUAGAGAUCUGGAGGAAUACCGGUGGCGAAGGCGGCCCCCUGGACAAAGACUGACGCUCAGGUGCGAAAGCGUGGGGAGCAAACAGGAUUAGAUACCCUGGUAGUCCACGCCGUAAACGAUGUCGACUUGGAGGUUGUGCCCUUGAGGCGUGGCUUCCGGAGCUAACGCGUUAAGUCGACCGCCUGGGGAGUACGGCCGCAAGGUUAAAACUCAAAUGAAUUGACGGGGGCCCGCACAAGCGGUGGAGCAUGUGGUUUAAUUCGAUGCAACGCGAAGAACCUUACCUACUCUUGACAUCCAGAGAACUUUCCAGAGAUGGAUUGGUGCCUUCGGGAACUCUGAGACAGGUGCUGCAUGGCUGUCGUCAGCUCGUGUUGUGAAAUGUUGGGUUAAGUCCCGCAACGAGCGCAACCCUUAUCCUUUGUUGCCAGCGGUUAGGCCGGGAACUCAAAGGAGACUGCCAGUGAUAAACUGGAGGAAGGUGGGGAUGACGUCAAGUCAUCAUGGCCCUUACGAGUAGGGCUACACACGUGCUACAAUGGCGCAUACAAAGAGAAGCGACCUCGCGAGAGCAAGCGGACCUCAUAAAGUGCGUCGUAGUCCGGAUUGGAGUCUGCAACUCGACUCCAUGAAGUCGGAAUCGCUAGUAAUCGUGGAUCAGAAUGCCACGGUGAAUACGUUCCCGGGCCUUGUACACACCGCCCGUCACACCAUGGGAGUGGGUUGCAAAAGAAGUAGGUAGCUUAACCUUCGGGAGGGCGCUUACCACUUUGUGAUUCAUGACUGGGGUGAAGUCGUAACAAGGUAACCGUAGGGGAACCUGCGGUUGGAUCACCUCCUUACCUUAAAGAA
Molecule: ribosomal RNA, 1550 nt
Filed under: Leclercia adecarboxylata
Lineage: Bacteria; Pseudomonadati; Pseudomonadota; Gammaproteobacteria; Enterobacterales; Enterobacteriaceae
Also listed under: 1 other name
Description: bacterial SSU rRNA
Rfam family: Bacterial small subunit ribosomal RNA
Source: RNAcentral